This 98-nucleotide non-coding RNA is filed under the name Brevibacillus massiliensis. Its description in RNAcentral is "SAM riboswitch (S box leader)". It matches the Rfam family "SAM riboswitch aptamer (S box leader)". From Rfam's summary of the family: The SAM riboswitch is found upstream of a number of genes which code for proteins involved in methionine or cysteine biosynthesis in Gram-positive bacteria. Lineage: Bacteria; Bacillati; Bacillota; Bacilli; Caryophanales; Paenibacillaceae. The record is from RNAcentral.
UCUUAUCCAGAGUAGGUGGAGGGACUGGCCCGAUGAAACCCGGCAACCGUCUAGCGCGGUGCUAACCAGCAGAGUGGUUACCCAUUCUGGCCGAUAAG